This 25-nucleotide non-coding RNA is filed under the name Mus musculus (house mouse). The record is from RNAcentral. Lineage: Eukaryota; Metazoa; Chordata; Mammalia; Rodentia; Muridae.
UAGAAGCUGAUAUUAAAUAAUGAAG